RNAcentral lists this ribosomal RNA (253 nucleotides) under uncultured bacterium. Its description in RNAcentral is "partial 16S ribosomal RNA". It matches the Rfam family "Bacterial small subunit ribosomal RNA", at positions 524 to 776 of the family's 1533-position model. The record is from RNAcentral.
GACGGAGGGGGCAAGCGUUGUCCGGACUCACUGGGCGUAAAGGGUGCGUAGGCGGUUUGGUGCGUUCGCGCUGAAAUCACACGGCUUAACCGUGUGGCGCGUGCGAAUACGACCAGGCUUGAGGCAAGGAGAGGAUGGGGGAACUCCUGGUGUAGUGGUGAAAUGCGUAGAGAUCAGGAAGAACACCCGUGGCGCAAGCGCCCAUCUGGCCUUGACCUGACGCUGAGGCACGAAAGCGUGGGGAGCGAACCGG